UACAGGGGGGGCAAGCGUUGUUCGGAAUUACUGGGCGUAAAGGGCUCGUAGGCGGCCAACUAAGUCCGACGUGAAAUCCCCAGCUUAACCUGGGAACUGCGUCGGAUACUGGAUGGCUUGAAUUCGGGAGAGGGAUGCAGAAUUCCAGGUGUAGCGGUGAAAUGCGUAGAUAUCUGGAGGAAUACCGGUGGCGAAGGCGGCAUCCUGGACCGACAUUGACGCUGAUGAGCGAAAGCUAGGGGAGCAAACGGG
RNAcentral lists this ribosomal RNA (252 nucleotides) under uncultured bacterium. RNAcentral describes it as "partial 16S ribosomal RNA". It matches the Rfam family "Bacterial small subunit ribosomal RNA", at positions 524 to 776 of the family's 1533-position model. The record is from RNAcentral.